GACGAACGCUGGCGGCGUGCUUAACACAUGCCAGUCGAACGGAAAGGCCCUGCUUUUGUGGGGUGCUCGAGUGGCGAACGGGUGAGUAACACGUGAGUAACCUGCCCUUGACUUUGGGAUAACUUCAGGAAACUGGGGCUAAUACCGGAUAGGAGCUCCUGCUGCAUGGUGGGGGUUGGAAAGUUUCGGCGGUUGGGGAUGGACUCGCGGCUUAUCAGAUUGUUGGUGGGGUAGUGGCUUACCAAGGCUUUGACGGGUAGCCGGCCUGAGAGGGUGACCGGCCACAUUGGGACUGAGAUACGGCCCAGACUCCUACGGGAGGCAGCAGUGGGGAAUAUUGCACAAUGGGCGGAAGCCUGAUGCAGCAACGCCGCGUGCGGGAUGACGGCCUUCGGGUUGUAAACCGCUUUCGCCUGUGACGAAGCGUGAGUGACGGUAAUGGGUAAAGAAGCACCGGCUAACUACGUG
Molecule: ribosomal RNA, 468 nt
Filed under: uncultured bacterium
Lineage: Bacteria
Description: partial 16S ribosomal RNA
Rfam family: Bacterial small subunit ribosomal RNA
Source: RNAcentral